GGAAGGGGCGGGGCGUGCGAGCCUGAGGGGAUCUUGGGCGGUGAGCUGCCGUGGGAGCUCGCUACGGACUGACUGGAGGAAGUACCAGGCUUAGGGUACUGCUGGGACUAUAAGGAUAUGCUCAUGAACUUGCCUGAAUUCAAAAUACUGGGCCAUCUCUUCAGUGAAGAGAUCUUCUAAUCUCUUGACCCAGCAUCAUGAAAUAUGGGACACUGUGUAGCUGAGGUAUUGGCUGGAACAUACGGAGGCCUGACACCAGCAAGCUGUUGGGAAGAACUCAUCCUUUGGGAUGGAGCCUGGAUGUGCUGCGAACCUGUUACAGAGUCCCAUGGUUCUGCUCAUUCCGAAAGCAAAGCCAUACGUGAACAUUCUGUCUUGCUCCUUCAGCAGUUACAAAUAACUUGACUGCUUUUCCAAAGAUGAAACAAGAUUCUGAAGGUGAAAUAUUCCGUCCAGUUUGCCCUCAGUGGAAGGAGAUCCCAGAAACAUCGUCUUUUGUGAGUAGACACUGUUGACUGUGUACCCACACCCGCUUCCCCCUCUUACUUGCUAAUUAAGCAAAGGCCAUAGUUUUGAAGCUAUUGAACCUCUUUUCGGGACCCUCUUGCAAUUCCACUUCGUUUUCCAGUGUCCGGAAGGGGGCCUGUGACCCUAACCUGGCUCACUCGGCCUAAGAGAAAGUCUGCUGGGGAGUAGGGAGGGAGGAGCUUGUGAAAACUAUAGUCUUUCUCUUAAAAAAAUAACAGCCACACAGAAGCUCAUAAUGAAAAAGUGUUUGCCUUGUCUCGCUGUCAUUGGAUGGGGAUGUGAUAGUGCAAGCUGUGACAGCUGUGUGAACACAAUAUGGUGCACACCUGAGGGCAGGUGCUGAGGCGCUGAGAUGGUAAAGGAAGAAUGGGUGACCGUGACGAGGCCACUGUGCCACUGGGACUGUCUGCAGCAGUCUCAUCUCUGACUUGUCUGGUAAAGUACAAAGCUAAGGAACCUGAUCUGUGGGUAGCUGAUCCUAACUCGUACAAAUGCAUAUGCACUUUGCAAGGCAUAUAGAGUCCUUUGUAAUAGCACAUUAAUUCAUAGCCUCCCCCUCCCCACGAUACCUAUUAAAUGAAUGCUAUGGUCUAGAUCUAGAAUGUCCCCAAAGCCUCACAUAUUCACAGGCAGGGCUUUUGGAAGGUAACUGAGUUAGGGGUACUUCUCUGACUUGCCAAUUACGGCCUGAUCCUAACCCUGGUCUGGAAGGGUAUAUUUGUUUCCCCAUUUCCUCUCUGCUUUUCUGCUUCCUGGCUGCCAUACAGUGAGCAGUUCUCCUCCACCAGACCCUUCCACCAGACCCUUCCAGCUUUAGACCCAACUGACCAUGGACCAAGACUGUGAGCCAAAACAAACCUCUCCCUCCUUAAGCUGAGGGUGUUGUGUAUUUUGUCUUCACAAUGAGAAAAAUAAAACAAAACACUUUCUAUAUUCACAGUAUCAUUAUUGAUACUUCUUUAUUGACUUUUCUAUUAAAAACAGAUUUUUCUGUCAUAAUGUUAUAAAUAUUUUACCCAAUUAGCU
Long non-coding RNA from Fukomys damarensis (Damara mole-rat), 1554 nucleotides. NCBI's taxonomy places the organism in Eukaryota, Metazoa, Chordata, Mammalia, Rodentia, Bathyergidae. The record is from Ensembl.